Molecule: ribosomal RNA, 429 nt
Filed under: Gemmatimonadota bacterium
Lineage: Bacteria; Pseudomonadati; Gemmatimonadota
Description: Gemmatimonadetes bacterium partial 16S ribosomal RNA
Rfam family: Bacterial small subunit ribosomal RNA
Source: RNAcentral
UAGGGAAUCUUCGGCAAUGGACGAAAGUCUGACCGAGCAACGCCGCGUGAGUGAAGAAGGUUUUCGGAUCGUAAAACUCUGUUGUUAGAGAAGAACAAGGACGUUAGUAACUGAACGUCCCCUGACGGUAUCUAACCAGAAAGCCACGGCUAACUACGUGCCAGCAGCCGCGGUAAUACGUAGGUGGCAAGCGUUGUCCGGAUUUAUUGGGCGUAAAGCGAGCGCAGGCGGUUUCUUAAGUCUGAUGUGAAAGCCCCCGGCUCAACCGGGGAGGGUCAUUGGAAACUGGGAGACUUGAGUGCAGAAGAGGAGAGUGGAAUUCCAUGUGGAGCGGUGAAAUGCGUAGAUAUAUGGAGGAACACCAGUGGCGAAGGCGGCUCUCUGGUCUGUAAAUGACGCUGAGGCACGAAAGCGUGGGGAGCAAACAGG